GUGGACAUCCCUUAAAUACCUCAUUUGUGGAUGUUAAUCCUUCACCGUGGAUGGUAACUACGAAACAUGAGCUUAUACGUACGCUGGUAUCAUAAAACCCGUCUAUGCUGCCUGCGGAUUAAAUCAUCAUUCGGGCUGUCAAUGGAGAUGGAUUUUCCUGUGUUACGGUCGGUGUCCAGUAGUCUCUUUCGAGUGGACAGUGGAUGUCAUUGGCGCUGCUAGGAUCUAAACUAAUCCUUCCCAUACGCUGCGCCGUAAGCAAGUCUUUCGAUUGCUUUUUCUUGCCCGUGUGCUGGUGGUUGGCAUCUUCGCCAUAAGGCUGUAGGCUUGGGAAAAAUGCCGGCUGGUAAAUUUUAAGUGCCAGUUGUCUAAGUGUUCGGGAGAGAGAGAGAGGCCAUGUUACUUGUUUCGAGCAAUAUCGACGAGGAAAGAAUUUUCAAUUUACUCCGUUUUAUAGGACUUUGGAAGCUUUUAUCUCGAAAGGGAAAGGCACUUGUUCGAUGAUUCAAUUUAAGUCAACGUUUUCUAUACGAAGCCGUUUAUAAUAGAACAACCAUGUUGCAUUAAAUGCUUUCUUGGGGUCUUUAUAUUUAUUAACUCUGUCUAAGGGCCCAACUUUUAAAAAGUACAGAGUUUUUCAUUAAGAAUGUUUUUUCUGUAUCUAACAAGCUAUCUGGUAGUCAAACAAAUCCUUCAGUACUUGAGAGCUUUGAGCUACGAGCGCUCCACAAUCUACAGUUUGAACUCAACAAUAAAACGGCUAACAACCAGA
Long non-coding RNA from Anopheles stephensi (Asian malaria mosquito), 772 nucleotides. RefSeq lists it as uncharacterized. Lineage: Eukaryota; Metazoa; Arthropoda; Insecta; Diptera; Culicidae. The transcript is spliced from 2 exons. The record is from RefSeq and is a predicted model, not a curated record.